This 402-nucleotide ribosomal RNA is filed under the name uncultured bacterium. RNAcentral's name for it is "bacterial SSU rRNA". It matches the Rfam family "Bacterial small subunit ribosomal RNA", at positions 29 to 434 of the family's 1533-position model. The record is from RNAcentral.
AUUAAACGCUGGCGGCAUGCCUUACACAUGCAAGUCGAACGGCAGCACGGGGGCAACCUUGGUGGCGAGUGGCGAACGGGUGAGUAAAGCAUCGGAACGUGCCCUGGAGUGGGGGAUAACGUAGCGAAAGUUACGCUAAUACCGCAUAUUCUGUGAGCAGGAAAGCAGGGGAUCGCAAGACCUUGCGCUCUGGGAGCGGCCGAUGUCGGAUUAGCUAGUUGGUGGGGUAAAGGCCUACCAAGGCGACGAUCCGUAGCGGGUCUGAGAGGAUGAUCCGCCACACUGGGACUGAGACACGGCCCAGACUCCUACGGGAGGCAGCAGUGGGGAAUUUUGGACAAUGGGCGAAAGCCUGAUCCAGCCAUGCCGCGUGAGUGAAGAAGGCCUCGGUUGUAAAGGACU